Non-coding RNA from Characodon lateralis, 94 nucleotides. The record is from the annotation of a GenBank genome assembly. Lineage: Eukaryota; Metazoa; Chordata; Actinopteri; Cyprinodontiformes; Goodeidae.
GGCGCUGGUGGUGUAGGGGUUAAGCACGCCCAUAUAUAGAGGCUACAAUCCUCGAAGCGGCUGUCCCGGGUUUGAGACCCGGAGACCUUUGCCG